UGCUCACGCGACCAACAUUCAUAACACACACUCGCUCCCUCUCUAUUGGUGUUUACUUCCAAAUCCAAGAGCAAACAAUGGCUGGUUUUCUCUGCAACCAACCUGUGUUGGGUUCUUGUCCUUGUUCUACUUCAUUCUCUUCAAAACCCUUUCAAUCUCCACAUCCCCAAAUCGUUCGUUUUCCACCUCGCUCCUCCAACCUUGCUACAAUCUUAGGGUUUCCAACCCCCCUUUCCUUUCGCAAUCAAAGAACCCUCUUCAAGUCCUUUGUAGCUUCCCAUGAUUCGCUUUCAUCUACAUGUGAUGAAACAGGGGAGACUCAGAAUGAUGUAAGAGUGGCAAACGAUGAUGAAGAUAAAAAACCUCUACCCAGCUUAAUGGUCCUCAUUGAAGCAUACAAGGAUGCCAUUCUUAGUGGUGAUGAAGUAACCGUAUCUCAGAUUGAAGAGAGAUUACAUUUAGUGGCAAAUGAAAAAAAUAAGCUGGCUCAGGAAUUAUCGACUUUAUCGGCUAAUCAAGUUUCUUCUAAGGAGAAAUACCUUCGCUUACAAGCAGAUUUUGAUAAUUUUAGGAAAAGAUAUGACAAAGAAAAACUUAACAUCCAAGCUGAUGCACAGAAAGAAUUCAUUGAAAAACUUCUGUUGAUGGUGGACAAUUUUGAGCGAGCCAAACAACAAAUUAAAGCACAUACCGAGAAAGAGAAGAAGAUUGAUGUUAGCUAUCAAGGUAUUUACAGGCAAUUUGUAGAAGUUUUGAGGAGCCAUCAAGUUUCUGUCGUAGCAACAGUUGGAAAGCCUUUUAAUCCAUUGCUUCAUGAAGCCAUUGCACGCGAGGAGUCCGCAGAGUUCAAGGAAGGGAUUAUAAUCAAAGAACGCCGACGUGGUUUCUUACUCAAAGAUCAGGUUCUAAGGCCAGCACAAGUUAAGGUUUCCUCAGGUCCUGGCAACAAGAAAUCUCCAGUGGCUCCUGCCAAGUCCAUGGAGCAGCCUUCAACAGCUGCUGGAAUAGAUGAAAGAUGAUAGUCUCUUGAACUUUCUCACUUAUUCAUUGAAAGCCUAGUUUGACCUGCGUACCUGAUAUACUCAUUCUUCAACUUGAAGCAUUUCUAGUGUUCCAUCGGUGUUUUCAGCCCAAGGAUGGACAUUUAUGUAUGUAUCCUUCUGGCCUUAUUAAUGAAGCUGAGAUAUCAUUUUAUCUAUCACACAUAUCCUCCACGGGAGCCAACUAUGUUCCAGCUUGGACAUGCACAUUUAUGUGGGACUUUUUUUAAUACACUAGACUUAAACUCGAUGCAUUUCUUAAAGAGAAUCAAACAUGUAUCAAUCAAACUAACAAUACGUGUUGAGAGACUAUUGAUAGGUGGGAAACCAUAAUGAGCGAGUCAUUGUGGCUGGGAUUAAUCUCGCCAUAUUCUUCAGAUAAGAAAGUGAUAGGCAAUAGGCAGACUCUUCACACGUGUGGUUCUCUAGUUUAUACAUAU
Lotus japonicus is the source of this 1480-nucleotide RNA transcript. RefSeq lists it as uncharacterized. Lineage: Eukaryota; Viridiplantae; Streptophyta; Magnoliopsida; Fabales; Fabaceae. The transcript is spliced from 4 exons. The record is from RefSeq and is a predicted model, not a curated record.